RNAcentral lists this ribosomal RNA (475 nucleotides) under Pseudomonas aeruginosa. RNAcentral describes it as "bacterial SSU rRNA". It matches the Rfam family "Bacterial small subunit ribosomal RNA", at positions 30 to 498 of the family's 1533-position model. The record is from RNAcentral. Lineage: Bacteria; Pseudomonadati; Pseudomonadota; Gammaproteobacteria; Pseudomonadales; Pseudomonadaceae.
AUUGAACGCUGGCGGCAGGCCUAACACAUGCAAGUCGAGCGGAUGAAGGGAGCUUGCUCCUGGAUUCAGCGGCGGACGGGUGAGUAAUGCCUAGGAAUCUGCCUGGUAGUGGGGGAUAACGUCCGGAAACGGGCGCUAAUACCGCAUACGUCCUGAGGGAGAAAGUGGGGGAUCUUCGGACCUCACGCUAUCAGAUGAGCCUAGGUCGGAUUAGCUAGUUGGUGGGGUAAAGGCCUACCAAGGCGACGAUCCGUAACUGGUCUGAGAGGAUGAUCAGUCACACUGGAACUGAGACACGGUCCAGACUCCUACGGGAGGCAGCAGUGGGGAAUAUUGGACAAUGGGCGAAAGCCUGAUCCAGCCAUGCCGCGUGUGUGAAGAAGGUCUUCGGAUUGUAAAGCACUUUAAGUUGGGAGGAAGGGCAGUAAGUUAAUACCUUGCUGUUUUGACGUUACCAACAGAAUAAGCACCGGUA